RNAcentral lists this ribosomal RNA (309 nucleotides) under Triticum aestivum (bread wheat). RNAcentral's name for it is "partial small subunit ribosomal RNA". Lineage: Eukaryota; Viridiplantae; Streptophyta; Magnoliopsida; Poales; Poaceae. The record is from RNAcentral.
AUGUGUUACUGUGUAAACUCUAUCCCUUUCUACAUAAUGAUUGGGUUAAGCAUCAUGAAAGGAGAAAAUAAAAAUGUUCAAGACAACCAAUCCCUUUCUUCACCGGACUUCUUUCCAUUUUUAUUAGAACUUCAGCAACCGGUGACUCCAUCUGUAGAUUUUUGGGAGUACAGUUUGAUGUGGAUUAGAAUCAUUUACAGAGAGAAGCAGCCCCACAUGAUAGAUAAACAAAAUUGUGACGGCACACAAUCAAUAGAAUUUGUAGCAACAACGGAAUGGGUGGAAGCAACUUUUACUUUGUCAACAUAA